GGAUGUGCAAAUCUGAUGAAGAAUCUCACGGAAGAGUUUCAUGAAGGAGAACAAGGCAACAAUCACAUGAUUGAAAACUUGAUUGGUUAAUUAGGACAUGGUUAAUUAUUUCUGCAUCUUUCUUUCUUGAAAGAUGUAAUUUUUGCAGUGUUCAAAGGGGUAGGAUUUUGUACUAAGGAGGAAAUAAUACGAAGCAUGUGUUUUAGUUUUGAAGAAAAUAUCAGAACUGAACUGCAACACGUUUAACAGGCGAGCCAAGUUUCUUUGAUUAAUUCUUUUUUAUCUAUUUGCAGGUGUUAGAAAAGAAAGUUCAAGUUUUAAGUGUCUGAUUUUUGUAGCAGAGACUUUAUGAGGCUAGAAGGUACGGUAUGCAUUUAUCUUGCCCAUUUAUUUUUGCUUUCUCUGUGUUCCUGCGAUGGGUCAUGAGCUGAGAAAAAGAUAUUGAGUGAGCCCACUGUUAUGUUUGAUUCGGAUGGUUUACAUCCUUAGCUGAGGCAUUACUACAGAUGUAUGAGGGCAAAUGGGGUCACUUUCCAAGUGUCUUAAGCUUAUAGA
Lolium perenne is the source of this 555-nucleotide long non-coding RNA. RefSeq lists it as uncharacterized. The record is from RefSeq and is a predicted model, not a curated record. NCBI's taxonomy places the organism in Eukaryota, Viridiplantae, Streptophyta, Magnoliopsida, Poales, Poaceae.